This 73-nucleotide transfer RNA is filed under the name Operophtera brumata (winter moth). It matches the Rfam family "tRNA". Rfam says of the family: Transfer RNA (tRNA) molecules are approximately 80 nucleotides in length. Their secondary structure includes four short double-helical elements and three loops (D, anti-codon, and T loops). Lineage: Eukaryota; Metazoa; Arthropoda; Insecta; Lepidoptera; Geometridae. The record is from Rfam by way of RNAcentral.
CGUUUUAUGGCCUAACUGGUCAGAGCAUCGUGGAUUAGAGGCGAAGAUGCGGGUUCGAGUCCCGCAAGAACGG